This 539-nucleotide ribosomal RNA is filed under the name uncultured bacterium. Its description in RNAcentral is "partial 16S ribosomal RNA". It matches the Rfam family "Bacterial small subunit ribosomal RNA", at positions 355 to 885 of the family's 1533-position model. The record is from RNAcentral.
UAGGGAAUCUUCCACAAUGGACGCAAGUCUGAUGGAGCAACGCCGCGUGAGUGAAGAAGGUUUUCGGAUCGUAAAGCUCUGUUGUUGGUGAAGAAGGAUAGAGGCAGUAACUGGUCUUUAUUUGACGGUAAUCAACCAGAAAGUCACGGCUAACUACGUGCCAGCAGCCGCGGUAAUACGUAGGUGGCAAGCGUUGUCCGGAUUUAUUGGGCGUAAAGCGAGCGCAGGCGGAAUGAUAAGUCUGAUGUGAAAGCCCACGGCUCAACCGUGGAACUGCAUCGGAAACUGUCAUUCUUGAGUGCAGAAGAGGAGAGUGGAACUCCAUGUGUAGCGGUGGAAUGCGUAGAUAUAUGGAAGAACACCAGUGGCGAAGGCGGCUCUCUGGUCUGCAACUGACGCUGAGGCUCGAAAGCAUGGGUAGCGAACAGGAUUAGAUACCCUGGUAGUCCAUGCCGUAAACGAUGAGCGCUAGGUGUUGGGGACUUUCCGGUCCUCAGUGCCGCAGCAAACGCAUUAAGCGCUCCGCCUGGGGAGUACGA